Long non-coding RNA from Dreissena polymorpha, 655 nucleotides. RefSeq lists it as uncharacterized. The transcript is spliced from 2 exons. The record is from RefSeq and is a predicted model, not a curated record. Lineage: Eukaryota; Metazoa; Mollusca; Bivalvia; Myida; Dreissenidae.
UGCCCCGCCCCUUGGCGGCCAUGUUAUUCAAGCAAACAUAACCAUUUUCGAACUCAUCCAAGAUAUCAUUAAGACAAAUCUUCUGACCAUAUUUCAUCAAGAUUGGACAAUAAAUGUGGCCUCUAGAGUGUUAACAAGGUUUUACUAUAGCCAUAUAAGGAAAAAUGCCCCGCCCCCUGGCGGCCACGUUUUUCAACCAAUCGGCAUCAUUUUCAAACUCGUCCAAGAUAUUAUUGGGAUGAAUCUUCUGACCAAGUUUCAUUAAGAUUGGACAAUAAAUGUGGCCUCUAGAGUGUAAACAAGAUUUUACUAUAGCCAUAUAUAGCCAUAUAAGGAAAAAUGCCCCGCCCCUUGGCAGCCAUGUUUUACACGCAAAGGUUACCAUUUUUUAACUCAUCAAAGAUAUCAGUGGGACAAAUCUUCUGAGCAAGUUUCAUGAAGAUCGGAAAAUAAAUGUGGCCUCUAGAGUGUUAACAAGGUUUUACUAUAGCCAUAUAAGGAAAAAUGCCCCGCCCCCUGGCGGCCAUGUUUUUCAACCAACCGGCAUCAUUUUCCAACUCGUCCAAGAUAUUAUUGAGAUGAAUCUUCUGACCAAGUUUCAUUAAGAUUGGACAAUAAAUGUGGCCUCUAGAGUGUUAACAAGAUUUUACUAUAG